UAGCAUAUCAAUAAGCGGAGGAAAAGAAACCAACAGGGAUUGCCCCAGUAACGGCGAGUGAAGCGGCAACAGCUCAAAUUUGAAAUCUGGCUCCUAGAGUCCGAGUUGUAAUUUGUAGAGGAUGCUUUUGAUGCGGUGCCUUCCGAGUUCCCUGGAACGGGACGCCAUAGAGGGUGAGAGCCCCGUCUGGUCGGAUGCCAAAUCUCUGUAAAGCUCCUUCGACGAGUCGAGUAGUUUGGGAAUGCUGCUCUAAAUGGGAGGUAUAUGUCUUCUAAAGCUAAAUAUUGGCCAGAGACCGAUAGCGCACAAGUAGAGUGAUCGAAAGAUGAAAAGCACUUUGAAAAGAGGGUUAAAUAGUACGUGAAAUUGUUGAAAGGGAAGCGCCUAUGACCAGACUUGGGCCCGGUGAAUCAUCCAGCGUUCUCGCUGGUGCACUUUGCCGGGCACAGGCCAGCAUCAGUUUGUCUUGGGGGAAAAAGGCUUUGGGAACGUGGCUCCCUCGGGAGUGUUAUAGACCAUUGCAUAAUACCCUGGGACGGACUGAGGUUCGCGCAUCUGCAAGGAUGCUGGCGUAAUGGUCAUCAGCGACCCGUCUUGAAACACGGACCAAGGAGUCGUCUUCGUAUGCGAGUGUUCGGGUGUAAAACCCCUACGCGUAAUGAAAGUGAACGCAGGUGAGAGCUUCGGCGCAUCAUCGACCGAUCCUGAUGUUCUCGGAUGGAUUUGAGUAAGAGCAUACGGGGCCGGACCCGAAAGAAGGUGAACUAUUCCUGUAUAGGGUGAAGCCAGAGGAAACUCUGGUGGAGGCUCGCAGCGGUUCUGACGUGCGAAUCGAUCGUCAAAUAUGGGAAUGGGGGCGAAAGACUAAUCGAACCUUCUAGUAGCUGGUUUCC
RNAcentral lists this ribosomal RNA (893 nucleotides) under Simplicillium lanosoniveum. Its description in RNAcentral is "partial large subunit ribosomal RNA". It matches the Rfam family "Eukaryotic large subunit ribosomal RNA", at positions 36 to 959 of the family's 3401-position model. The record is from RNAcentral. Lineage: Eukaryota; Fungi; Ascomycota; Sordariomycetes; Hypocreales; Cordycipitaceae.